RNAcentral lists this ribosomal RNA (292 nucleotides) under uncultured bacterium. RNAcentral's name for it is "partial 16S ribosomal RNA". It matches the Rfam family "Archaeal small subunit ribosomal RNA", at positions 455 to 746 of the family's 1478-position model. The record is from RNAcentral.
GUGCCAGCCGCCGCGGUAAUACCGGCAGCCCAAGUGAUGGCCGAUCUUAUUGGGCCUAGAGCGUUCGUAGCUGGCCGCGCAAGUCCAUCGGAAAAUCCACCCGCCCAACGGGUGGGCGUCCGGCGGAAACUGUGUGGCUUGGAACCGGAAGGCUCAGAGGGUACGUCCGGGGUAGGAGUGAAAUCCCGUAAUCCCGGACGGACCACCGAUGGCGAAAGCACUCUGAGAAGACGGCUUCGACAGUGAGGGACGAAAGCUAGGGUCUCAAACCGGAUUAGAUACCCGGGUAGUC